Molecule: long non-coding RNA, 3211 nt
Organism: Orcinus orca (killer whale)
Lineage: Eukaryota; Metazoa; Chordata; Mammalia; Artiodactyla; Delphinidae
Exons: 2
Source: RefSeq, a predicted model, not a curated record
UUAAUCUAACAGCAAAUGCAAAAAUCCAAAUUAUUCCUGAGCAUCAAUUAAUCUGAAGACUGAGGAAUGGAGGAAAUGUAAAUACAAAAGAGUAUGUGCUACACAUAAAGGGGUCAUAUAAUUUAUUAUCCAAAUUAGGACACUUUUAAGAGUAAAAGCACUAUUAAUAAUUAUGUUGGGACAACAGGCAAUUGAGAAUAAGAUCAAGUGAUAUAGUAUUUGUUUUGCUCAUUUUUAUAUUAUCCAGAGGUAUGAAAGAUAUUCACCUUUUUUUGAUGCAGAAUAAAAAUGCAUGGGAAAAGGCUUCAGGCUAAAUUCAAAGAAGUGAUCUAAUAUAUUUGAUUCAGAACAUUUUGGUCCUCUUAACUAGCAAAACCAAAAGCACUUUAGGUCUAUUGCCAGGAGUUCGAAGAGGCUUUAUAAAUGAUCAAGAAGGGUGAGAAGUAAGGAAUCUAUUAAAUCAGGAGAUUUAUUGUUAUGUACUUUCGCUAUAUCAUUUAAGUUUUUUUUUAAUUGGCAAAAAAAUUGGCAUAACUUCUGAGUAAAAGAAGCACAGAAUUUGGGGGUUAAUGGCUUCGGUAUGAUUUCAGGCUAGAAGAAGGAAAGAAGUGAGAUAACUUUAGCAAAAUGAGAAAAAUAAGAUUAAAUAUACUUGCACGAUACAUAAAAGUAAGAAUACACAAAGGACAAAAUAACUUCAAUUUAAAAAAUAAGCGCAAUGCCUGGCACUAAUAGUUGCUCAAUAAAUGUGAUCUGAUUGGUGAAAGAAAGAGACAGUCAUAAUGCCUAGGUAAAAUAGCUAAAGAUGACGAUUUACUUAUAGGGAUAUUCAACAGAAUAAACUGAAAGUGACAGAAACAUUUCCUUAUUUAAAAACAGACUGAUGCCUGUGUCACUAGGAUUAAUCCAGAAGUAGAACUCUACUAGUUACUCACUCUAGGAACAAAGAAAAAUGAGCUACUUCUAGAAGUUAGCCAGCUGAAAGGGCAAUAUUUGAUGCUCCGGGACACCUAGAGUUUCUGUUAUUGGUAAGAGGAAAGACUCGCUCAUUCAAAGUUAUUAGCACACCAGGAUCUGGUCACCAGAUAUUUCACACUGUAGGCAUUUAAAAUCAGUACCCCUCAUGCUUCAUCACUUUACUUCCCCACAACUUUACACAUCCAGCACAACAGGAACAAAAGGAGACCACUCAAGUGCUAAGAACAACGAAAUCUGCCACAUCAGAGAAAAAGCGUUCACAGUGCUGAGGCUCAUUUAUUUUGAAUAAAUCUCCAGUGGAAAUGUGUAGACGAAAUAAGCAUGCAGAACAGUACAGCACGAUGCAGGCACACUGAGUCAGACACACAAUGGAGGAAGCAGAAAACAUAACAGGAAAACACAAUGUGAAUAAAUGCUACAAUGGCUCUUCUCUGAAAGGAAGUUCACUCCCCAAAGAAAGAAAUGCAAAGCCUGCUAAGGAAAGUCAGAGGUGGUGAGUUGUCUGAACCAAGAGAAAACUUUUCCUAAGGAUACAGAAACCCAUAAGACUAGGGCUGAUCCCAAGAGCAGUGAAACAAGGAAAAAGCAAAGUAAACUAGAUGUGCAGAGUCAGACUGGGGAAGGAAAGACGCAAAGGCCCAUCUCUGAUGAGAAUAAAAUCCAUUUCUUUUAGAAGAAUGCUAAAAAUCCUCUAUCUUUUAGAAAAUAACUCAUUUCUGAGAAAAUAUUUGAAGAGCAGCUUUCUACUGGUCUCAUUUCAGUUCUUUUCUGUUAAUUUUAAGUAGAUUUAAAUUUCUAACUUUUUAAUUAAAAAAAAAAAGUUGUGCCUCCUCUUUCCACAAGAAGGCCCCAAGCAAGUGCAGGUGAGCACAACUGCUGCUGGGAAUCUGAGCCAACACGCUCGACCUUCCUUUUUAACUGGAUCUUAAGAACUACUAUAUUUUGCAUGAUAAGGACACACAUCAGAUUCAGGACUCCAAGAAUUCUUAGAAAGGUGUGGGAUUAGGCAGGAAGUACAGUAAAACCACAUUCACAUGGCAUAUGGAAUGGAAAAGCCUUCUUUUUCUUGUUUACCAGGGAAGUGAGAGGCAACCAUGCAAGGCCGUGUGUCAGCAAACGGCAAUACCAGUGUCCAUUACCCCAAAGGGCUCAGAUAGUGUGAGAAAAUGGUUUCUGAUCAAUUAUUCUUUCAAAGUUCAAUUAAAUUUAAAGAUCUAACAUCCAGUUGUUCUGCUCCUUUUCAGGGACUUGAACUGUAUAUUGGCGCUUCUAAAGACUGAAGAGCAGGUCCAAGAAUGAGAACGUUUCUUGCCACUGAGACUGUAAAACAGGGUGAAAGCUAUGAGCGAAAACAUUUUGAGCAGUUUAUACUGUUGAUUCAGGAUGAGAUCCUCAGUCUGUUUUCAGCUUUUGAUUGGUGUCAGCAGCCUAAAGAAGUUAGGAGGCCAUCUCUCCAAAUCUACUCUACCUUCCUGUUCCAAAGGCAUGUUCCAGAGGGAAAGUUUCAUGCAGGAAAAGACAGGUGUGUGCAAAAGUAUAUCCUUUGACAAAUUUCCACAGCAUUCUACACGUUCCAACACAAAACCAACAGAAAAGAGUGCGACUUGGUCAGUCCCCUGACCAAGGCUAAGAAGAUAGGUGAGAGAAAGAGGAAGACAGAUAUAUGGGAUCACUGAUGCCAGUCUUACAUCACUGAUGAGCACAUUAGUUUUCUUAAGCUGCCUCAUCAUAGGGGUGUCAUAAGAUGCGGCGCCGUGCCCGUACCCUCUCCUUUGGCCUUUGACGUAUUCCGCCUAGAGUACCAGCAAGACAGCAAAGUCAGAACGGGGAGGGCCCACCCAGAGGGGAAGUCUCCUUGGACCAGGGGCCGCACCAUGAAGCUGUCAAUCCUGAGGCAAGCCUUUCCCAGGAAGUAAACCCAGGAAAGGGAGCUCAUAAAACGAUCUGGUUGGGACUCAUUCUCCACAUCAUAGGAUUCACUUGGGGUUAGAAAUACAGGUCUCUCUCGGGUUUCCCUGGUGGCGCAGUGGUUGAGAGUCCGCCUGCCGAUGCAGGGGACACGGGUUCAUUGCCCGGUCCGGGAAGAUCCCACAUGCCGCGGAGCGGCUGGGCCCGUGAGCCAUGGACGCUGAGCCUGCGCGUCCAGAGCCUGUGCUCUGCAACGGGAGAGGCCACAACAGUGAGAGGCCCGCGUACCGCAAAAAAAAAAAAAAAAAAAAAAAAAAAAAGAAAU